AGCGAAUAGAUACCCAGGUAGUCCACGCCCUAAACGAUGUCGACUAGGUGUUCGGUGAGGAGACUCAUUGAGUACCGCAGCUAACGCGUGAAGUCGACCGCCUGGGGAGUACGGUCGCAAGAUUAAAACUCAAAGGAAUUGACGGGGACCCGCACAAGCGGUGGAUGAUGUGGAUUAAUUCGAUGCAACGCGAAAAACCUUACCUACCCUUGACAUGUACGGAACCCUGCUGAGAGGUGGGGGUGCUCGAAAGAGAGCCGUAACACAGGUGCUGCAUGGCUGUCGUCAGCUCGUGUCGUGAGAUGUUGGGUUAAGUCCCGCAACGAGCGCAACCCUUGUCAUUAGUUGCUACGCAAGAGCACUCUAAUGAGACUGCCGGUGACAAACCGGAGGAAGGUGGGGAUGACGUCAAGUCCUCAUGGCCCUUAUGGGUAGGGCUUCACACGUCAUACAAUGGUCGGUACAGAGGGUUGCCAAGCCGCGAGGUGGAGCCAAUCCCAGAAAGCCGAUCGUAGUCCGGAUCGCAGU
This 528-nucleotide ribosomal RNA is filed under the name uncultured bacterium. RNAcentral describes it as "bacterial SSU rRNA". It matches the Rfam family "Bacterial small subunit ribosomal RNA", at positions 771 to 1304 of the family's 1533-position model. The record is from RNAcentral.